UGUUUUGUUUUUUUUUAGAAUACCCCUGCGACACUUGUAACAAGUCAUACAAACUGUUGGGAUCCCUACGACGUCACAAAAAAUACGAGUGCCAAGUGGCACCAAAAUUCAAUUGCAUCUUUUGCGAUUACAAAUCUAAGCAGAAAACACCUAUGAUGACACAUCUACGAAUCAAACACGAUUACGUUCCAAAUAAGUGAAUGGAAAUGUCUGAAAUGUAACAGAGUUUACAAACGGAAGUGGUCACUGUGCAAACACUUGAAAUGGGAAUGCGGACGUCAGUGCCAAUUUAAAUGUACAUUGUGUAAUUACUCUUCUAAACGGAAAGCUCAUAUGUUGUACCACAUGAAUGCCAAGCAUAAACUCGAGAUGAAUGUUAUUUCUAACGAAAAUUAAUUGUAACCAUGUAAUUUAGACUCUUUAGUUGUAAAACAUGUUCCACUGUCGGUAAUAUAUAUAAUAUGGUUA
This is a long non-coding RNA of Aethina tumida (small hive beetle), 468 nucleotides long. RefSeq lists it as uncharacterized. The record is from RefSeq and is a predicted model, not a curated record. The transcript has 2 exons. NCBI's taxonomy places the organism in Eukaryota, Metazoa, Arthropoda, Insecta, Coleoptera, Nitidulidae.